This 251-nucleotide ribosomal RNA is filed under the name uncultured bacterium. RNAcentral describes it as "partial 16S ribosomal RNA". It matches the Rfam family "Bacterial small subunit ribosomal RNA", at positions 9 to 252 of the family's 1533-position model. The record is from RNAcentral.
GAGUUUGAUCCUGGCUCGAGGAGUGAACGCGUAGCGGCAGGCUUAACACAUGCAAGUCGAGGGCAGCGGGGUGUAGCAAUACACUGCCGGCGACCGGCGCACGGGUGCGUAACGCGUAUGCAACCUACCCAUAAACAGGGGCAUAACACUGAGAAAUUGGUACUAAUUCCCCAUAACAUUCGAAGAGGCAUCUCUUUGGGUUGAAAAACUCCGGUGGUUAUGGAUGGGCAUGCGUUGUAUUAGCUAGUUGG